This 1315-nucleotide ribosomal RNA is filed under the name uncultured bacterium. RNAcentral's name for it is "bacterial SSU rRNA". It matches the Rfam family "Bacterial small subunit ribosomal RNA", at positions 28 to 1359 of the family's 1533-position model. The record is from RNAcentral.
GACGAACGCUGGCGGCGCGCCUAACACAUGCAAGUCGAACGGAGUCGUGUUGAAAGCUUGCUGGAUAUACAACUUAGUGGCGGACGGGUGAGUAACACGUGAGUAACCUGCCUCUCAGAGUGGAAUAACGUUUGGAAACGAACGCUAAUACCGCAUAACGUGAGAAGAGGGCAUCCUCUUUUUACCAAAGAUUUAUCGCUGAGAGAUGGGGCUCGCGGCCGAUUAGGUAGUUGGUGAGAUAACAGCCCACCAAGCCGACGAUCGGUAGCCGGACUGAGAGGUUGAUCGGCCACAUUGGGACUGAGACACGGCCCAGGCUCCUACGGGAGGCAGCAGUGGGGGAUAUUGCACAAUGGGGGAAACCCUGAUGCAGCGACGCCGCGUGAGGGAAGACGGUUUUCGGAUUGUAAACCUCUGUCUUUAGGGACGAAAAAAUGACGGUACCUAAGGAGGAAGCCACGGCUAACUACGUGCCAGCAGCCGCGGUAAUACGUAGGUGGCAAGCGUUGUCCGGAAUUACUGGGUGUAAAGGGAGCGUAGGCGGGAGACAAGUUGAAUGUCUAAACUAUCGGCUUAACUGAUAGUCGCGUUCAAAACUAUCACUCUUGAGUGCAGUAGAGGUAGGCGGAAUUCCUAGUGUAGCGGUGAAAUGCGUAGAUAUUAGGAGGAACACCAGUGGCGAAGGCGGCCUACUGGGCUGUAACUGACGCUGAGGCUCGAAAGCGUGGGUAGCAAAAAAGAUUAGAUACCCUGGUAGUCCACGCCGCAACCGAUGAUUACUAGGUGUGGGGGGAGUGACCCCUUCCGUGCCGGAGUUAACACAAUAAGUAAUCCACCUGGGGAGUACGACCGCAAGGUUGAAACUCAAAGGAAUUGACGGGGGCCCGCACAAGCAGUGGAGUAUGUGGUUUAAUUCGAAGCAACGCGAAGAACCUUACCAGGUCUUGACAUCGAGCGACGAACUUAGAGAUAAGUUCUUCCUUCGGGACGCGAAGACAGGUGGUGCAUGGUUGUCGUCAGCUCGUGUCGUGAGAUGUUGGGUUAAGUCCCGCAACGAGCGCAACCCUUAUCAUUAGUUGCUACGCAAGAGCACUCUAAUGAGACUGCCGUUGAUAAAACGGAGGAAGGUGGGGAGGACGUCAAAUCAUCAUGCCCCUUAUGACCUGGGCUACACACGUACUACAAUGGUGAUCAAACAGAGGGAAGCAACACAGCGAUGUGAAGCAAAUCCCGAAAAAUCAUCUCAGUUCAGAUUGCAGGCUGCAACUCGCCUGCAUGAAGUCGGAAUUGCUUGUAAUCGCGGAUCAGCAUGCCG